AUUAAAUCAUAAAAUUACAACACUUAGACUUUCCGUUGAGAAACAAGUUAAACACCCACUAAGCGGAUUUCAGGACCUACUAAUGAAGGCAUUGCCCAAGGUCACACAGCGAGCCAGAGGUGAAAGGGAAGCCAGAAGCAGAUGUCGCGGCCUCUAGUCCAUCCGGGCGCUCUCCCUGCCCUGUCCCCGGGCCGAGUCCAGUUUAGGCUGGGUGACUGCUCAUCCCAGAGAGCGCAGCCCAGGAAACAGUGGGAGGUGGAGGACGUGGAGCUUGGAUGGGGCCGGGAAUCCCCCAGGCUUGAGCGGGAUGGGCCACAGCCCUCUUUUCCCCCCACUGGUGAAACCCUGCUGAGGAAUUAAGUCAAUAUACAGAAAAUCACAGCCAAGAGCUGGAGAGAGAAAGAGAGCUCUGACAUCAUCAUUGAGCACCUGGAUCCAGCCAUACCUGAAGCCAGUGCCUCUACAGUGUUUACAUACGUUAGCUAAUAUUUCUUUUUAACUUAAGCUCAUUUGAAUUGGCUUUCUGUCUCAUUCUUUUGGUUAAAAGAAUUCUGACUCACACAGCUAGUAAAGGGCA
This 577-nucleotide long non-coding RNA is filed under the name Equus caballus (horse). Its description in RNAcentral is "lncRNA (ENSECAG00000031306.3)". The record is from RNAcentral. Lineage: Eukaryota; Metazoa; Chordata; Mammalia; Perissodactyla; Equidae.